RNAcentral lists this ribosomal RNA (301 nucleotides) under uncultured bacterium. RNAcentral's name for it is "partial 16S ribosomal RNA". It matches the Rfam family "Bacterial small subunit ribosomal RNA", at positions 509 to 808 of the family's 1533-position model. The record is from RNAcentral.
CAGUCGCCGCGGUAAUACGUAGGGUGCAAGCGUUAAUCGGAAUUACUGGGCGUAAAGCGUGCGCAGGCGGUUUUGUAAGACAGAGGUGAAAUCCCCGGGCUCAACCUGGGAACUGCCUUUGUGACUGCAAGGCUAGAGUACGGCAGAGGGGGAUGGAAUUCCGCGUGUAGCAGUGAAAUGCGUAGAUAUGCGGAGGAACACCGAUGGCGAAGGCAAUCCCCUGGGCCUGUACUGACGCUCAUGCACGAAAGCGUGGGGAGCAAACAGGAUUAGAUACCCCCGUAGUCCCUGUCCUUAUACC